RNAcentral lists this unclassified non-coding RNA (265 nucleotides) under rhizosphere metagenome. Its description in RNAcentral is "partial ribosomal RNA internal transcribed spacer region". The record is from RNAcentral.
GUAGGUGAACCUGCGGAAGGAUCAUUAUUGAAAUAAAACUCAGGUAGGGGGGGAGGUGGUUGUAGCUGGCCCCUAGUAAGGGCAUGUGCACACUGUCUCUUUCUCUUGCUUGUUUUUUUCAUUCUUUCCACUAGUGCAAUGCUUGUAGGCAGCCUGGCAUUGUUCAGGUUGUCUAUGAUUUUCUUUACAUACAUGAAUGAUUGUUGUACAGAAUGUGAUGAAAAAAAAAGUAAUACAACUUUCAACAACGGAUCUCUUGGCUCUC